UGAUGGGACUGUAUUCUUUUGGU
RNAcentral lists this non-coding RNA (23 nucleotides) under Cricetulus griseus (Chinese hamster). Lineage: Eukaryota; Metazoa; Chordata; Mammalia; Rodentia; Cricetidae. The record is from RNAcentral.